Molecule: ribosomal RNA, 486 nt
Filed under: uncultured bacterium
Lineage: Bacteria
Description: partial 16S ribosomal RNA
Rfam family: Bacterial small subunit ribosomal RNA
Source: RNAcentral
AUUGAACGCUGGCGGCAUGCCUUACACAUGCAAGUCGGACGGCAGCACGGGUGCUUGCACCUGGUGGCGAGUGGCGAACGGGUGAGUAAUACAUCGGAACAUGUCCUGUAGCGGGGGAUAGCCCGGCGAAAGCCGGAUUAAUACCGCAUACGAUCUACGGAUGAAAGCGGGGGACCUUCGGGCCUCGCGCUAUAGGGUUGGCCGAUGGCUGAUUAGCUAGUUGGUGGGGUAAAGGCCUACCAAGGCGACGAUCAGUAGCUGGUCUGAGAGGACGACCAGCCACACUGGGACUGAGACACGGCCCAGACUCCUACGGGAGGCAGCAGUGGGGAAUUUUGGACAAAGGGCGAAAGCCUGAUCCAGCAAUGCCGCGUGUGUGAAGAAGGCCUUCGGGUUGUAAAGCACUUUUGUCCGGAAAGAAAUCCUUGGCCCUAAUACGGUCGGGGGAUGACGGUACCGGAAGAAUAAGCACCGGCUAACUACGUG